AUCGAACGCUGGCGGCAGGCCUAACACAUGCAAGUCGAACGAGUGGCGGAAGGGUGAGUAAUGUCUGGGAAACUGCCUGAUGGAGGGGGCUAACUACUGGAAACGGUAGCUAAUACCGCAUACAAUCGGUUGUGCCCACAUGGGAUUAGCUAGUAGGUGGGGUAAAGGCUCACCUAGGCGACGAUCCCUAGCUGGUCUGAGAGGAUGACCAGCCACACUGGAACUGGGACACGGUCCAGACUCCUACGGGAGGCAGCAGUGGGGAAUAUUGCACAAUGGGCGCAAGCCUGAUGCAGCCAUGCCGCGUGUAUGAAGAAGGCCUUCGGGUUGUAAAGUACUUUCAGCGGGGAGGCGUUACCCGCAGAAGAAGCACCGGCUAACUCCGUGCCAGCAGCCGCGGUAAUUC
Molecule: ribosomal RNA, 406 nt
Filed under: uncultured bacterium
Lineage: Bacteria
Description: partial 16S ribosomal RNA
Rfam family: Bacterial small subunit ribosomal RNA
Source: RNAcentral